CAGCAGCCGCGGUAAUACGAAGGGUGCAAGCGUUAAUCGGAAUUACUGGGCGUAAAGCGUGCGUAGGCGGUUUGUUAAGUCUGCUGUGAAAUCCCCGGGCUCAACCUGGGAAUGGCAGUGGAUACUGGCAAGCUAGAGUGUGUCAGAGGAUGGUGGAAUUCCCGGUGUAGCGGUGAAAUGCGUAGAGAUCGGGAGGAACAUCAGUGGCGAAGGCGGCCAUCUGGGACAACACUGACGCUGAGGCACGAAAGCGUGGGGAGCGAACAGGAUUAGAUACCCCAGUAGUCCCUGUCUCUUAUAC
Molecule: ribosomal RNA, 301 nt
Filed under: uncultured bacterium
Lineage: Bacteria
Description: partial 16S ribosomal RNA
Rfam family: Bacterial small subunit ribosomal RNA
Source: RNAcentral